RNAcentral lists this ribosomal RNA (116 nucleotides) under Pteropus alecto (black flying fox). The record is from RNAcentral. Lineage: Eukaryota; Metazoa; Chordata; Mammalia; Chiroptera; Pteropodidae.
GUCUAUGGCCAUGCCACCCUGAACAAACCUAAUGUCUGAUCUUGGAAGCUAAGCAGGUUCGGGCCCGGUUAGUACUCGGAUGGCUGACCACCUAGGAAGACCAGGUACUGUAGGCA